RNAcentral lists this ribosomal RNA (1383 nucleotides) under uncultured bacterium. RNAcentral's name for it is "bacterial SSU rRNA". It matches the Rfam family "Bacterial small subunit ribosomal RNA". The record is from RNAcentral.
GAAUUCGCCCUUAGAGUUUGAUCCUGGCUCAGGACGAACGCUGGCGGCGCGCCUAACACAUGCAAGUCGAACGAGAGAGAGGGAGCUUGCUUCCUUGAUCGAGUGGCGAACGGGUGAGUAACGCGUGAGGAACCUGCCUCAAAGAGGGGGACAACAGUUGGAAACGACUGCUAAUACCGCAUAAGCCCACGACCCGGCAUCGGGAAGAGGGAAAAGGAGCAAUCCGCUUUGAGAUGGCCUCGCGUCCGAUUAGCUAGUUGGUGAGGUAACGGCCCACCAAGGCGACGAUCGGUAGCCGGACUGAGAGGUUGAACGGCCACAUUGGGACUGAGACACGGCCCAGACUCCUACGGGAGGCAGCAGUGGGGAAUAUUGCACAAUGGGGGAAACCCUGAUGCAGCAACGCCGCGUGAAGGAAGACGGUUUUCGGAUUGUAAACUUCUGUUCUUAGUGAAGAAUAAUGACGGUAGCUAAGGAGCAAGCCACGGCUAACUACGUGCCAGCAGCCGCGGUAAUACGUAGGUGGCAAGCGUUGUCCGGAAUUACUGGGUGUAAAGGGAGCGUAGGCGGGAUGCCAAGUCAGCUGUGAAAACUAUGGGCUUAACCUGUAGACUGCAGUUGAAACUGGUAUUCUUGAGUGAAGUAGAGGUUGGCGGAAUUCCGAGUGUAGCGGUGAAAUGCGUAGAUAUUCGGAGGAACACCGGUGGCGAAGGCGGCCAACUGGGCUUUAACUGACGCUGAGGCUCGAAAGUGUGGGGAGCAAACAGGAUUAGAUACCCUGGUAGUCCACACUGUAAACGAUGAUAACUAGGUGUGGGGGGUCUGACCCCUUCCGUGCCGCAGCUAACGCAAUAAGUUAUCCACCUGGGGAGUACGACCGCAAGGUUGAAACUCAAAGGAAUUGACGGGGGCCCGCACAAGCAGUGGAGUAUGUGGUUUAAUUCGACGCAACGCGAAGAACCUUACCAAGUCUUGACAUCCUGCGACGCACAUAGAAAUAUGUGUUUCCUUCGGGACGCAGAGACAGGUGGUGCAUGGUUGUCGUCAGCUCGUGUCGUGAGAUGUUGGGUUAAGUCCCGCAACGAGCGCAACCCUUAUGGUCAGUUACUACGCAAGAGGACUCUGGCCAGACUGCCGUUGACAAAACGGAGGAAGGUGGGGAUGACGUCAAAUCAUCAUGCCCUUUAUGACUUGGGCUACACACGUACUACAAUGGCGUUAAACAAAGAGAAGCAAGACCGCGAGGUGGAGCAAAACUCAGAAACAACGUCCCAGUUCGGACUGCAGGCUGCAACUCGCCUGCACGAAGUCGGAAUUGCUAGUAAUCGCAGAUCAGCAUGCUGCGGUGAAUACGUUCCCGGGCCUUGCACACACCGCCCGUCA